This 254-nucleotide ribosomal RNA is filed under the name uncultured bacterium. RNAcentral describes it as "partial 16S ribosomal RNA". It matches the Rfam family "Bacterial small subunit ribosomal RNA", at positions 524 to 776 of the family's 1533-position model. The record is from RNAcentral.
UACGUAGGGUGCGAGCGUUGUCCGGAAUUAUUGGGCGUAAAGAGCUCGUAGGCGGUCUAUCGCGUCGGUCGUGAAAACUUGGGGCUUAACCCUGAGCUUGCGGUCGAUACGGGCAUGACUGGAGUUCGGCAGGGGAGACUGGAAUUCCUGGUGUAGCGGUGAAAUGCGCAGAUAUCAGGAGGAACACCGGUGGCGAAGGCGGGUCUCUGGGCCGAUACUGACGCUGAGGAGCGAAAGCGUGGGGAGCGAACAGG